This 663-nucleotide long non-coding RNA is filed under the name Sorghum bicolor (sorghum). Its description in RNAcentral is "long non-coding RNA (SBIC_LNC012504)". Lineage: Eukaryota; Viridiplantae; Streptophyta; Magnoliopsida; Poales; Poaceae. The record is from RNAcentral.
AUGCCCGUUUUGAACUCUGUAAUAAUUGGUCUGAUUCUAUCUUUGGAUAGAUGAAGCCGGAUAAUAUAUCCUUUAUCUAAAAAAAACUAAACUCCUAGGGAUGCUCUUACAUCCUUCCAUAUAUUCUUUCUACCUUGUAUAUUUGUAUCAAGAAUUCUUUCUUAUUUUUUAUUUCUUUUUACACCUUUCCACCUCCACAUUUAUAUAUUCUUUCUCUCUUGUAUUUGUGCAUUAGGAAUUCUUUCUUAUUAUUUAUUUUAUUUUGCACUCUUCCACCUCUAGGCUUGUUAGGAAGUGUCAAGAGAAUGCAUGACGCGGCAUAGCAUCACACCAAACAAUUAUCAUACAAAAAAGGUCUUAUUUUCUUUCUUUUUAGACUGUCUCCCACAAUCGUCACCCAAAAUACAAGACUAAAAGGUAGCGCUACAGGUAAAAGGUUCCAUACCUAUUUUUAGUCUUCUCCAACAAUAAAACCUAAAAGACAACACUCUCUGUAAAUGGAUCUCGAGGAGAGAGGAUACCUAAAUUUGGGUUGCUUCUCCCGAUACCCAAAAUAGAUCUUCUGAGGGUACUUUGUUGGAGAUGGAGACCCAUUUUAGAUUUGGAUUUCUAAAUAGGUCUCCCAUUGGAGACGGUCUUAGUUGUAGGAGAUAGGAGAGUAGG